Pantoea stewartii subsp. stewartii DC283 is the source of this 103-nucleotide non-coding RNA. The record is from Rfam. NCBI's taxonomy places the organism in Bacteria, Pseudomonadati, Pseudomonadota, Gammaproteobacteria, Enterobacterales, Erwiniaceae.
ACUGGUUGGUGGCGCAAUGUUUCCCGGUCGGGCGGCGUUGUCGUGCACACUUAGCGUAAACCUGUGCAGAUACCUGAGCCCGCCAACAAGCGGGCUUUUUUUU